This 381-nucleotide unclassified non-coding RNA is filed under the name Hevea brasiliensis (rubber tree). The record is from RNAcentral. Lineage: Eukaryota; Viridiplantae; Streptophyta; Magnoliopsida; Malpighiales; Euphorbiaceae.
AGAAUAUGCAUACAGCGUUACGAAGCUGAGGACCAAGCUGCUGAAUGACUAGAGCAAAGCUACGAGAGACCUUGUGAAGCAUGGAGUAACAAAAACCCCAGUGAGGUUCUGGUGGGAUCUGCUUCUCUGCAUGCCUCACGGCCAUUUUCAACUUCAAAAGCGGGUAAAAAUCAUCUGGGUGUUUCAAAAUGGCUCCCAAACUUCCCAUUAUGACCAGAUCCCUUGAGAAACGAAAUGGGAUACGGAAAAGGAUUUUGAUUCCCAAUCGAGUUUUACAGGGCAAUUAAGUGAAUGGGUUUUUAUAGGAGAAGAAGAUGGGCAAGGACUAAAUAAAGGAUUCAACUAUGAAUUACCCUCAAAAGUUGUUGGUUUGGCAAAUUG